Molecule: ribosomal RNA, 445 nt
Filed under: uncultured bacterium
Lineage: Bacteria
Description: partial 16S ribosomal RNA
Rfam family: Bacterial small subunit ribosomal RNA
Source: RNAcentral
GUGAGGAAUAUUGCGCAAUGGAGGCAACUCUGACGCAGCCAUGCCGCGUGCAGGAAGAAGGCGCUACGCGUUGUAAACUGCUUUUAACCGGGAAGAAACCCCAGGACGUGUCCUGGGUUGACGGUAUCGGAGGAAUAAGCACCGGCUAACUUCGUGCCAGCAGCCGCGGUAAUACGAAGGGUGCAAGCGUUAUCCGGAUUCAUUGGGUUUAAAGGGUGCGUAGGCGGAGCGUUAAGUCAGUGGUGAAAUCCUGCAGCUUAACUGUAGACUUGCCAUUGAUACUGGCGCUCUUGAGUGCGCUUGAAGUGGGCGGCAUGGGCCGUGUAGCGGUGAAAUGCUUAGAUAUGGCACAGAACACCAAUUGCGAAGGCAGCUCACUAAGGCGAUACUGACGCUGAGGCACGAAAGCGUGGGGAUCGAACAGGAUUAGAAACCCUGGUAGUCC